CUAGAUUCGCCAGUGCGAGCUUCGAGGUGGUGGGUACAACGUCCGGUUGUAACUCCCUGGCCAAACCCACAAGUUCCUGACCGUUGUGUGUGGCUAGUACCUAGGAUCUAGACAGGCCCACUGACCAACACUAUUGUUUUCUACGCAUUUUGUACUUACUCGUGUAUACCUUGGAUCAAUUUUUCAAUUAGUCACACAUCCUCAAAUUUCUUCAAAGUUAGUCACAC
This 227-nucleotide long non-coding RNA is filed under the name Hordeum vulgare. RNAcentral's name for it is "long non-coding RNA (HVUL_LNC015458)". Lineage: Eukaryota; Viridiplantae; Streptophyta; Magnoliopsida; Poales; Poaceae. The record is from RNAcentral.